Molecule: microRNA, 22 nt
Filed under: Caenorhabditis elegans
Lineage: Eukaryota; Metazoa; Nematoda; Chromadorea; Rhabditida; Rhabditidae
Source: RNAcentral
CGGGAGUGGCACGGGUUGGGGU